GGCUCAGAUUGAACGCUGGCGGCAGGCCUAACACAUGCAAGUCGAACGGUAACAGGAAGCAGCUUGCUGCUUGCUGACGAGUGGCGGACGGGUGAGUAAUGUCUGGGAAACUGCCCGAUGGAGGGGGAUAACUACUGGAAACGGUAGCUAAUAUCGCAUAAUGUCGCAAGACCAAAGAGGGGGACCUUCGGGCCUCUUGCCAUCGGAUGUGCCCAGAUGGGAUUAGCUUGUUGGUGAGGUAACGGCUCACCAAGGCGACGAUCCCUAGCUGGUCUGAGAGGAUGACCAGCCACACUGGAACUGAGACACGGUCCAGACUCCUACGGGAGGCAGCAGUGGGGAAUAUUGCACAAUGGGCGCAAGCCUGAUGCAGCCAAUGCCGCGUGUAUGAAGAAGGCCGUUCGGGUUAGUAAAGUACUUUCAGCGGGGAGGAAGGGGUUAAGGUUAAUAACCUUAGCCAUUGACGUUACCCGCAGAAGAAGCACCGGCUAACUCCGUGCCAGCCGCGGC
RNAcentral lists this ribosomal RNA (510 nucleotides) under uncultured bacterium. Its description in RNAcentral is "bacterial SSU rRNA". It matches the Rfam family "Bacterial small subunit ribosomal RNA", at positions 21 to 518 of the family's 1533-position model. The record is from RNAcentral.